This 345-nucleotide unclassified non-coding RNA is filed under the name soil metagenome. RNAcentral's name for it is "partial contains 5.8S ribosomal RNA, internal transcribed spacer 2, and large subunit ribosomal RNA". The stretch from base 1 to 120 matches the Rfam family "5.8S ribosomal RNA", at positions 35 to 154 of the family's 154-position model. The record is from RNAcentral.
GAUGAAGAACGCAGCGAAAUGCGAUAAUUAAUGUGAAUUGCAGAUUUCAGUGAAUCAUCGAGUCUUUGAACGCACAUUGCGCCCCCUGGUAUUCCGGGGGGCAUGCCUGUCCGAGCGUCAUUGCUGCCCUCAAGCACGGCUUGUGUGUUGGGCCUCCGUCCUCCUCCCGGGGGACGGGCCCGAAAGGCAGCGGCGGCACCGCGUCCGGUCCUCGAGCGUAUGGGGCUUCGUCACCCGCUCUUGUAGGCCCGGCCGGCGCUUGCCGACACAUCAAUCUUUUUUCCAGGUUGACCUCGGAUCAGGUAGGGAUACCCGCUGAACUUAAGCAUAUCAAUAAGCGGAGGA